This 463-nucleotide unclassified non-coding RNA is filed under the name Hevea brasiliensis (rubber tree). The record is from RNAcentral. Lineage: Eukaryota; Viridiplantae; Streptophyta; Magnoliopsida; Malpighiales; Euphorbiaceae.
CUGAAAACUAAUCAUCACAGUUUCUUGUAAGACUCCCAUCGAUUUCAACUCUUUCUUUUGAUGGGUUGAUCAAGAAUUCCACACUAUCAUAAGUGCAGAGAACUUCUUUAAUUUUUCCAAGAAAACCAAUCCGAUGGCGACGUACUUUCAUGGGAAUCCGGAAAUCCCAGCAGAAGGCCUCCAAACCCUCGUCCUCAUGAACCCUGCUUAUGUCCAAUACUCUGACACUCCUCCACCACCACCUUCCAACAACCUCCUCUUUCUCAACUCCGCCACCAACAACCUUUCUCCAUCACCUCACCUCUCUCACGCGCCACCCAACGCCCAGCAGUUUGUCGGCAUCCCUUUGGACCCUAACUCCCAUGACGGUUCCACCUUGCAUGGACUUGUUCCACGAAUUCAUUACAAUCUCUACAACCCAAUUGACCUUUCGUCGGCUGCGCGUGAAACUCCACGCGCUCAG